This 459-nucleotide ribosomal RNA is filed under the name uncultured bacterium. RNAcentral describes it as "partial 16S ribosomal RNA". It matches the Rfam family "Bacterial small subunit ribosomal RNA", at positions 339 to 795 of the family's 1533-position model. The record is from RNAcentral.
CUACGGGAGGCACCAGUAAGGAAUAUUGCGCAAUGGAGGCAACUCUGACGCAGCCAUGCCGCGUGCAGGAAGAAGGCCUUAUGGGUCGUAAACUGCUUUUAUUUAGGAAUAAACCCCCGAACGUGUUCGGGGCUGAAGGUACUAAACGAAUAAGCACCGGCUAACUCCGUGCCAGCAGCCGCGGUAAUACAGAGGGUGCAAGCGUUAUCCGGAUUUAUUGGGUUUAAAGGGUGCGCAGGCGGGCUAUUAAGUCAGUGGUGAAAUCCCGGGGCUCAACUCCGGAACUGCCAUUGAUACUGAUAGUCUUGAGUUUGGUUGAAGUGGGCGGAAUGUAGCAUGUAGCGGUGAAAUGCAUAGAUAUGCUACAGAACACCAAUCACGAAGGCAGCUCACUAAGCCAAAACUGACGCUCAUGCACGAAAGCGUGGGGAUCAAACAGGAUUAGAUACCCCUGUAGUC